This 465-nucleotide ribosomal RNA is filed under the name uncultured bacterium. RNAcentral describes it as "partial 16S ribosomal RNA". It matches the Rfam family "Bacterial small subunit ribosomal RNA", at positions 28 to 507 of the family's 1533-position model. The record is from RNAcentral.
GACGAACGCUGGCGGCGUGCUUAACACAUGCAAGUCGAACGGAAAGGCCCUGCUUGCAGGGUACUCGAGUGGCGAACGGGUGAGUAACACGUGGGUGAUCUGCCCUGCACUUCGGGAUAAGCCUGGGAAACUGGGUCUAAUACCGGAUAGGAGCCAUUUUUAGUGUGAUGGUUGGAAAGUUUUUUCGGUGUAGGAUGAGCUCGCGGCCUAUCAGCUUGUUGGUGGGGUAAUGGCCUACCAAGGCGGCGACGGGUAGCCGGCCUGAGAGGGAGGACGGCCACAGUGGGACUGAGAUACGGCCCAGACUCCUACGGGAGGCAGCAGUGGGGAAUAUUGCACAAUGGGCGCAAGCCUGAUGCAGCGACGCCGCGGGGGGGAUGACGGCCUUCGGGUUGUAAACUCCUUUCGCUAGGGACGAAGCUUUUUGUGACGGUACCUAGAGAAGAAGCACCGGCUAACUACGUG